UCCAGAUUUUAAGCAGUGAGGAAAGAGGACCACUUGUGCCAGCCGCUUAAAAAAGGAGUGGCGACUUGGAUGUUCCAGUAGCCCCUCUAUAUUUUGAACAGAUGAGAAGAUCCCCACCUUCUUCAUCCACACCGUGGGCCUAACACAUGACAGGAUGGGCUUUGACAUAUGGAUGAGAAGCAGCAGCCUUGUGAAGAAGAGUGGAGAGUCAGCCUUCAGUGGAACAGAAACAGAGGGGCAGAAAACAACCUCAAUUUGCCAGUGCACAGGGGGACUGUGCCUGGUGUUUGCUCAAAACACUACUUUCAUUAGUCAUCUUUACUUCAUAUAUUUUAAUAUGUCAUGAAGCCAGGAUAUCAUGGUUCAUAUGCUAGCUGUUGAGAUGCAAUAGGUAAUGCUGAUCUCAUUCCCAAAUAUUACAUUUGCUUGGGGUUUUUUUUUUUUUUUUGGUAUGCUGCUCAAAUGAACACCAGCAAAUCCCUCCAUACACUCAUGCUGAACUCAUAUUUUUAUUUUUCAUAUAUACGUGCACAUACUCAGCAGUCUGUUCAUCUUAUAUGAGCAAAUUCAUUGGUAUAGUAAUUGAGCAUGGACUGUAGUGGAAUAAUAUAUAUCCCUGCUGAGCUCAAAGUAAAAUGGAACCGAAUCUCAGGAGAGGGGUUGCUGUACAGUACUUAUUUUCUGGUUUACAAGCUUCCUAGGCAUAUCUUCCUAGCAGCAUAACUUCUAAGCACGAUCAUCUGACUGCAGUCUGAGGUGAGCUUUCUCCUGCCUGGCUCCAUCCAGAUGUGGUAGGAUUGCAACUCCCAGAAUGUCCAGGAACAUCUUGGACCCUUCAGUCCAGAUCAACUGAAGGAACCCAGUUUGGAAGGUGGUUUAAGCCAUCAGCCAAACAGAAACUUUUCCCUGGUGCACAGUAUUUUCUCCCUCAUACUUCAUUCGGUCCUAUCUAUGUUCAAGUGCUUCUCAUGAGAUAUUUAUGUGAGUCAGCCGACUUAACCAUGUAAAGCUCCUGUUAGGUCAGCCAACUGCCUGGCUGAAGCAGAUGAUGGUCCUGAAAAUCACUGUCCACAUGAUUGCACUGCAUCAGUAUCAGAGCAAACCGUUGCAUUGUAAUAGCUUUGUCCUUAGCAGUGUUUCUCAACCUCAGCAACUUUAAGGUGCAGUCUUCAACUCCCAGAAUGCCUCAGCCUGCUCUAAAGCAACCUCUCCCAGCUGGCAGCUUCCAAGUGCCCUGUGGUUGUAGCUGCCAUAAUUCCCAGCCUACAACCAUGUUGCCUAGGCAUUUGCAGUCCCAAUACAUCUGAAAGAUCCCUGAUUGAGGAAGGCUGCCAUUGCCAAUUAUGGGAACUACAUUUGGGAUAACCUGGACCUUUUCAAGAUCCCUGCCACUUCCCAUCCAACGUCUGUGUUCAUAGUUACUGGCCUGGUUUACACAGAGAACUAAGACAUAAUGUGGUUUGUUGGUUGAUUUUUGGCACAGCAUGACAUAUGAACCCAUCCCUUAUGACUCAGCAUGCAUGUGGGCUCUGACUUGUUCAACAAUAUCGAAAUUCAGGCUUAGUUUUAUAGGUGGAUGCAGCCCAUCCCUUCUUCUCACGUAGAAACCAAAGUUCCUAGAGCUCCAAGAGGAAGUGACCACUGAGCCAAUUCAAAUCUACAGUGUGAGUAACACACUGUGUUUAGGACACAGCUAAAUUUGCAUAAGUUUGCCCUGUUAAGUGGUCAUUAAGUCUGCUUAACAAUGUAAUGAUUUAUAACCAUUGCGGUUCAGGCAUUUUUUAAAAAGCCAUUGCAGUGAGGAAAGAAGCUAUAGAUGCUACCAUCGACAACAAAUGACUCUUGAAGCCUGAUCAUUUUUCUUUUCUACAUUUGCAGAGAUUUAUCUCCUUUGGAAACUAUUUGAACAAUGACGUAUUGCCCUUUAGUUUCCCUUUGACUCACUGCAGCUCAUUCCCAAAUUUGGCUAUAAUUUUUUCAUUUAUCAACCCAAAUUUAUUCUCAGGCUGAAUAUAAUGAUUUGGCAGGCUUUCUGAAAUUCAGAUCUUACACAUUUGAGGUUUUGAUGUACAUAUUUUCAAAUGAUUACCAAUCUGGAAAGCCAGUCUCUCCAGUCUAACCAUGGAUUUAGAGCUUAGACUCAGAGAGAGCAAAAAUGCAGGCUUGUGAAUGCAGAGCUACUGAGGAUUUGAUUGUGGAUAACAUUGUGGAUCAGCAUAUACAGGAGUGCCUAUUCCAGUGUGAAAUUAGAGUAUCUGGAAAGUUUCUUAGUCUCAGCAGGGCUUCUAACACAAGGCAUAUUGCUGCUGGUGUCUUAACCAGUACUGCCUUUCAGUGUCUGGAACAUCAUUUUGCAAUUUUUUGCCCUCUCCUUUGUUCCCCUUCCCCAAUUUGUUUAACAACCAUGAUGGCUGGACAAAAGAAGAGAGUUUCUUGCUCUUUUUGAAGGGUUGCUGUGUCUCUGCUUGAAGUUAGCUUCAGAGUUUACCCGUACUAUAGUUAGUUUCUACGUUUCCCUCCCUCUUCAUGGCACAAUGCACACCUCUCCCUGGGCUGACGGAGGAGGCUGGUGAGGAGGCUGUGAUCCAACAGCUUUUGAGGACCAAGCCUAGAGCUGAGGGGAAGGAGAGGCUGCCAAGCAGCCAGAUGGAGCUCCAGCCCCUGGAGCUGCCAUCUGCUUCUUGUCAAGUUGUUGUGAAGUGCUAGUUCCUGAUGACGGAGACUGCUGGACAGCAGUGUGAGGAUGCGGUUAUGACAGAUGUUGUGUUUACCAUACUUCAGGCCCUCAUCAGGCUGACACAGGAUGUUAGCUUUUCCCUGGGAAGAGUGUUGCUUGAUCUUAUGUUCACCUCUUCAUUCAGUGCCUGCUUCCCCAGUGAAAACCUCACUUUAUAGGCCCAUCUAUACAGAGGGAAAUCAGAGAAACUGUCCAAAAGAAGGCAAAUGAAUUCCCAGGUCAUGGCUCAUCUUACGGUUGUCUCUCUCAGACGGUCUUACCUGAGAGAUGAAAAGAUUGUAACAUUCAUCUCCUCAAUGCCUCCUGGGUCUGACCUGUAUCUAGAGUUACAUCUACUCCUUGCUGCCACACACAAUUUGACCAAUGUAUCAUUAGAAGAGGUGUGAACAUAUCGGUCAGGGAAUAUCUAAAUGACAAUUUUAUUUAUAUGGCUAUGGAAUUCAACUCUAAGCAGACAAGUAUCAAGCUGAUUAUCUCACAUCUGACUUAUUUCAAUGUUGCCAAGCAUAGUUAAUCUGAAAUUCCCAUAGUGGCUGAAAUGUUUAUUUAAGCAGCCACUACCUUUACCUUUGAGCGCAGCCAUAAUUUACAUCAACUUUAUGAAGGCCAGGAAGGCUCCAGUUAGAAAAUGCAUAUACAAUUUUAUCAUACCCCCCCAAAGCAAUACCUUUGCAACAACAACAACAAAAUUGCAGAUACACUAACACAGCCGAUUCUGAAAAGGAAAGAAGCCUAUAUCUUUGUUACCUCUUGGCAGAAUUUCUAUUGAUCUCAAUUUCAGUGUUGAGAAAUAUUCAGAUCAACAGCAAUCUCCGUUUACCCUGAGCAUCAACAGUGCCUGGUGAAACAUCCUAUUAUUGUUGGGUGCAUGCUCACAAAAUGGGAUUGUUAUAGAGCAAUAAAUUCAGAGAAACUUCCCAACUAUUCUCUCUCCUCCAUAUAGUUUUAAUUUCAUGCAGUUAUGUAUUUAUUGUAUUUUUUUUUUAAUAAGGUGACAAUUCUGGCCAUCCUUUUUAUCCUUGGAAGGUUAGACUGAGUAAACUCUUCCAAGAUCAUCCAAUCAGGUUUUUCUGACUAUGGGAAGAUCUGAAUGUGGGUCUUCUUGAGCUAAAUUAGAUAUAAUAAUCACUAUGACACUAUACUGUUAUUUUUAAACUGGACAUCUUUCUGUAAAUAUACCUGAAAUGUGCCUCAGCACCUAUACAGAUGUGAUCUUGGCCAGUAAGCAUUUUCCAUACUUCUACUUUUGUCAUCUCCUGUCCUACAAGGGAAAUCCUGCAGAAAGGUCCAAGUUCUAAUCAUCGUACUAGCACUAUAUUUCUUACGAACUUGUACUGGAACUUAUAUUUCUUUCUUAGCAAAAGCUCCUUAAAAACCCUCUACUUCAAUUUUGAUUUUAACAGUUCAUGUGGUUGGUGCCUGCUAUUAAUAACAGGUCUGGAGAAUCCUCUGCAAAGCUCAGGGCUUCUUGGGCUUUGUAAGCAACUUGAUUAGAAAAAAAAGGUAGUAGGAAAAAAAGGUACUAGAAAAUUUAGAAAUCGCAGGUUGCUCCAAAUCCUGUAUUUUUCUUCUCGGUGACUGCCUGACCUCUCUGCGACCGCUCUUGUGAGAGAAAGUUGCUUCCUGGAUGGACGCUUUCAUAAGAAUGACUUCGAUGUCUCCCAGCCCAAGGUGCAGUGCUGCAUCUCUGGUCAGUUGUGAGUCUGAGAUGAAGCACUGUAGCUCAGGAAGGGAGGAACAAGGCAACGGAAAGGACCAGCCCUGUUCUCCUAUGUUCAAGUCAAGCACCCAGAGGUAAGAAUCCGGGCAGGUAUGAUUACCUAGCAGAUCCAGGAGGGAACAAUUACUCCAGAGUGUGGAAAUACAGGGAUGAAGAACAGCAUGGAGAAAACGACAGAUUGCAGAGAACGCUACAAAUACCGCUACCCAUUCUGCCUGGCCAGGGAUUCUGGGGGAUAUAGUGCAAGGGAACUGGAGGGCCCUAGUUUGGGGAGAAGUAAGGGUCAUAAGAGCACACAGCAAAACAGCAGAUUACUCAAAUGCAUUCCUCUUCUGACCAGGGGUGAGAGGGUUUGUCAAAUUAUUCAUAUUUUGAAAAAGAAAUCACAGCCCUGGCCUACGCUUUCUGAGAGUGCCAAGGAAGCAUCAGAUUCUUCUAGUGCUACCAAAUCACCUUCUCACGGCUGCCACCCAGUGGAAAUAGACACUGAAGGUAACUUUACUACACAGCAGAGGGGAAGCAGCAAAUUAGAGAGAAUCCCACAUCUGAGCCUAAUCUCACUAUGUCCUCGGGGUCCAGUUUUCCCAGGAAUCCCUUAGAUGCUAAGAAGGGGAUUCCUGGAAAUACUGUUCUUGGGGUCAUGGCUCAGCAACUGAAGACAAUUGUUCACUUCAAUCACAUCAGAGGGAGCCAUACGAACAGGCAGAGAGUCAAUGGGAAUAGAAGGAUAAGGACUGAAAAUCCUGAGAGAUAUUUUCAUUUUCUUAGCUUCCAAAGGCCUAGCAAACCUGAUUUCGUACAGGGAUUCUCUCAAACCUAACAUUUCUUCUGGGGAUGAGGGCUGCAGGCUCUGAGUGAAGUACUAGGACUAUACUCUGAAGAGUAGUAGGUGGCAAAAUGCCUUCUGAUUUCAUUUUAUUUCCAUUUCAAUUGGAAAUAAAAUUGCCAUUUAAAUUACAUGUUAUUUUAAGAUACUUAACUGGAUUGCUCUCCAGUUAUGUUUUUAAUAUUUUCACCUUCUGUCACAUUAAGCAUUACAAUUUGGUCACUGAGGAGAUGAUGGCUAUUGUUUUUGAAGGCCACGUGUAAUCUGGGGUUCAAAUUAUGUACCUCUGGCCUAAAUUAAGAACAUUAGCUUCCUAAGCGAUCACUGUUAGAGAAAGACCUUUCUUAGCAGGCACCACUCACAUUUUACUUAGAUUUUACAGCUCCUUCAGUCACACAAAUAAGCUGUCACAGGUAAGGGAAUCAAAGAGGAAUAUCGUAGCUCUUCACUUAAGUUGGCGGAAGAACUGGAUCAUUUCACAUAUCUGUACAUUCAAGUACUGAUGCCCCAAUCUACCUCAACAAAUGAAAGAUGCUGCUUUUUUGAAUGGCAAGGAAUGCUAUGAAAAAUAGCGUCUUCUGGGUUUCUUGGUAUUUUAUGACUAUACUUGAGCCAUACUGUUGUAAUUCCUCCUCCCAUUCUCAACAGUCCCAUCACUGUAAAGUGGAUAAUAGGCAUAACUUAAUCCCUUCUAUGAAGACUUCUGUGUCAAUAAAGCUGAAACAUUU
Molecule: long non-coding RNA, 6011 nt
Organism: Python bivittatus (Burmese python)
Lineage: Eukaryota; Metazoa; Chordata; Lepidosauria; Squamata; Pythonidae
Source: RefSeq, a predicted model, not a curated record